RNAcentral lists this ribosomal RNA (1358 nucleotides) under uncultured bacterium. RNAcentral's name for it is "bacterial SSU rRNA". It matches the Rfam family "Bacterial small subunit ribosomal RNA", at positions 28 to 1381 of the family's 1533-position model. The record is from RNAcentral.
AUUGAACGCUGGCGGCAGGCUUAACACAUGCAAGUCGAGCGGAGAUGAGGUGCUUGCACCUUAUCUUAGCGGCGGACGGGUGAGUAAUGCUUAGGAAUCUGCCUAUUAGUGGGGGACAACAUUCCGAAAGGAAUGCUAAUACCGCAUACGUCCUACGGGAGAAAGCAGGGGAUCUUCGGACCUUGCGCUAAUAGAUGGGCCUAAGUCGGAUUAGCUAGUUGGUGGGGUAAAGGCCUACCAAGGCGACGAUCUGUAGCGGGUCUGAGAGGAUGAUCCGCCACACUGGGACUGGGACACGGCCCAGACUCCUACGGGAGGCAGCAGUGGGGAAUAUUGGACAAUGGGGGGAACCCUGAUCCAGCCAUGCCGCGUGUGUGAAGAAGGCCUUAUGGUUGUAAAGCACUUUAAGCGAGGAGGAGGCUACUGAGACCAAUACUCUUGGAUAGUGGACGUUACUCGCAGAAUAAGCACCGGCUAACUCUGUGCCAGCAGCCGCGGUAAUACAGAGGGUGCGAGCGUUAAUCGGAUUUACUGGGCGUAAAGCGUGCGUAGGCGGCUUUUUAAGUCGGAUGUGAAAUCCCCGAGCUUAACUUGGGAAUUGCAUUCGAUACUGGGAAGCUAGAGUAUGGGAGAGGAUGGUAGAAUUCCAGGUGUAGCGGUGAAAUGCGUAGAGAUCUGGAGGAAUACCGAUGGCGAAGGCAGCCAUCUGGCCUAAUACUGACGCUGAGGUACGAAAGCAUGGGGAGCAAACAGGAUUAGAUACCCUGGUAGUCCAUGCCGUAAACGAUGUCUACUAGCCGUUGGGGCCUUUGAGGCUUUAGUGGCGCAGCUAACGCGAUAAGUAGACCGCCUGGGGAGUACGGUCGCAAGACUAAAACUCAAAUGAAUUGACGGGGGCCCGCACAAGCGGUGGAGCAUGUGGUUUAAUUCGAUGCAACGCGAAGAACCUUACCUGGCCUUGACAUACUAGAAACUUUCCAGAGAUGGAUUGGUGCCUUCGGGAAUCUAGAUACAGGUGCUGCAUGGCUGUCGUCAGCUCGUGUCGUGAGAUGUUGGGUUAAGUCCCGCAACGAGCGCAACCCUUUUCCUUACUUGCCAGCAUUUCGGAUGGGAACUUUAAGGAUACUGCCAGUGACAAACUGGAGGAAGGCGGGGACGACGUCAAGUCAUCAUGGCCCUUACGGCCAGGGCUACACACGUGCUACAAUGGUCGGUACAAAGGGUUGCUACACAGCGAUGUGAUGCUAAUCUCAAAAAGCCGAUCGUAGUCCGGAUUGGAGUCUGCAACUCGACUCCAUGAAGUCGGAAUCGCUAGUAAUCGCGGAUCAGAAUGCCGCGGUGAAUACGUUCCCGGGCCU